UACAGGAAAACUUAUAGAGUAGCAGACAGUGACACGGAGCCACACGGGAGAGGCAGAUCGGGAAAGCAAAGAGAGAGGGAAGAAACUCUUAUCGCAAUCGAGCAGACAUUUUUGUUGUCGCUCUCCCUUGUUGGCUGUUUCCCCUCUACCAAUACCGUGUGUGUAGUAGCAUUGGAAUCGGCGGGACACGUUGGCAAACAGUUGCGGUCCAACAUUCUACAGCGGCCACAGUGCCAGGAGAGAAGGCAGGAGACGGACCAUACCAGACGUACAGAAAGAAAGGAUAACAAGUGUCAAUUUGCCAUUCGAGCAGAUCCUCUGCACUUUAUAUUUCAGGCUUCACGUACACCCGACCACAGCCUUUCUCUCACUCGCUCAGCUGCUCUGGAGCUAGUACAACUCUGACGUGCGAUCGAUAUAAUAUAGUGAGAAAAACACUUUGGUACGUAGCACCACCGAAAAAAAACUCGCCGCAAGACAAUCAUGUCGGAUCCCACCACAGCUGAGGAAGCUGCUGCCAAAGCCGCUCUCGACAGUGCCCAAUCGAGUUUCUUCCUCUCGUCCAAAUUGAUUUUUCUGCUGGCUCUCAUGGUUCCGGUAGCCUUGCUAGGUCUAUUCGCCCGGAAAUUGUUAAUGUCGGAGAAGGAGAAGGAAAUGCGGCGACUGGAGAAGAAGAAAGCCAAAGAGGCAAAGUCAUCUAAAAAGAAGUGAAUGGCCGUCACACGAACCCAGUAACCGGAGAGGGGAAAACGAGGAAUGAUAAGAAGAAAUAUACAAGAACUAGAACUCCAAGCAAGCCAAGCACUAGGGACUUAACCCCCCUUGGCGGGGGGAGGCGUCCACUCUUCAUUCCUCUCAUCUUUUGUCCGAUCUACCACCAUCUCAGAAAUAACAAACCAACAUCGUCAGCUGAUAAUAAAAAACACACUCUCAUAGAGAAAAAAAAAUCAAAUGGGAAAUGAGUCUUCCGUUUGACGGUCGUCCACUUAUAAUAAAGGCGAGCGAUCUGCUCUCGAUGAUGGCUGAACAAUA
Long non-coding RNA from Daphnia carinata, 1032 nucleotides. RefSeq lists it as uncharacterized. The record is from RefSeq and is a predicted model, not a curated record. The transcript is spliced from 4 exons. NCBI's taxonomy places the organism in Eukaryota, Metazoa, Arthropoda, Branchiopoda, Diplostraca, Daphniidae.